GCUCACGUAGCUCAAUCGGUAGAGCAUGAGACUUUUAGAUGUCUUCAAGUUUAUCUCAAGGUUGCGAGUAAGUUUGUCCUCUUUCCCAACCAUUGUGGGAUCCUCAUCUAAAACAAUCCGCUAGGUUCGAUCCUCGUCGUGAGCU
This is a non-coding RNA of Annulohypoxylon truncatum, 145 nucleotides long. NCBI's taxonomy places the organism in Eukaryota, Fungi, Ascomycota, Sordariomycetes, Xylariales, Hypoxylaceae. The record is from the annotation of a RefSeq genome assembly.